Molecule: ribosomal RNA, 406 nt
Filed under: uncultured bacterium
Lineage: Bacteria
Description: partial 16S ribosomal RNA
Rfam family: Bacterial small subunit ribosomal RNA
Source: RNAcentral
AUUGAACGCUGGCGGCCGGCCUAACACAUGCAAGUCGAACGAGUGGCGGACGGGUGAGUACUGUCUGGGAAACUGUCUGAUGGAGGGGGAUAACUACUGGAACCGGUAGCUAAUACCGCAUACCCUCAGAUGUGCCCAGAUGGGAUUAGCUUGUUGGUGGGGUAACGGCGCACCAGGGCGAAGAUCCGUAGCUGGUCUGAGAGGAUGCACAGCCACACUGGAACUGAGACACGGUCCAGACGCCGACGGGAGGCAGCAGUGGGGAAGAUUGCGCAAGGGGCGCAAGCCUGAUGAAGCAAUGCCGCGUGUAUGAAGAAGGCCUGCGGGUUGUAAAGUACUUUCAGCGGGGAGGCGUUACCCGCAGAAGAAGCACCGGCUAACGCCGUGCCAGCAGCGGCGGUAAUAC